This 1093-nucleotide long non-coding RNA is filed under the name Sparus aurata (gilthead seabream). RNAcentral's name for it is "lncRNA (ENSSAUG00010020278.1)". The record is from RNAcentral. Lineage: Eukaryota; Metazoa; Chordata; Actinopteri; Spariformes; Sparidae.
GAGUGCUGUUAUUUUUAACCUGAACAUGUUGUGGCGUUUUUUUAUUUACCAGAAGCGGACCGGAGAAGAAGCGAGGCCACUUUGCUUCCAGCAUAAGUACACUGUCUGUCUGCCCGGCUCUGCCUCUCUGCUCUGUCCCGCUGUGCUCCGGGGGAGAGCACUCACCACAUGUUCUUUUGGAGAUGAGUCAUCGGAGGUGGUGUCACUGCUGAAGAAUCACCGAGCAGGAGUCAGGAGAGAGCGACUAAAGAUAGACCAUUAGGAACAUCUUCGCUAACAAGAUAACGACUGAUUUCUCUGACAUUCUGAAGGAAUCAGAGACGCCUGGCAGAGAAAAAGUACGACGGAGGAACAAUGCAGAGAAGUUGAUGCUGUGAUUAACAUAACAGAGAGAUACACGGAUCACUUCACAAAGGCUGCUCUGUAUGGAAUGAGUUCAUAUCAUAUAUCUGACAUGUUUGUUUCUUGACGAUAUUCUAUAUAUAUCCUUCAUUAGGGAUUAUUAUUAUCCUUUAUUUACUGUCGUGAGAAGACUUUUGUUGUGAACUGGCGCUGUACAAAUAAAGAUUGAUUGAUUGAUAUUUAACCAGGUAAAGGCUCAGUCAGUGUGUUUACAUGACACUCGAGAAAACCGAAUUAAUGGACACUGGGUUAAAUCUUUAAGAUGCAUGUAUACACUUUAGUCUGACUAAAAUCGGACCAGAUCGGAUUUCUCAUAGUCGGAUUUAAACACCUCGAUUAUUCCAUUAAUAGUCGCAUUACUCCUGCAUGUAUACGUUCCAGGGGCGGUUCUAGGGGGGGGCCAACAGGGGCCAGUGCCCCCGUAACUCUGAGUCUGGACCCCCCUGUGGCCCCCCUGACAGGGAGUCUGCAUCAAUAAUACAAUGACAGAUUUCUUGCAAUGAUUUUGUUUUGAAGGGAAAGGCUGAAAUAAAGUGUCUCAGCAGUUUACUACCCAAUCAAAAUUGCUGAAAUUGUAAACACUGUUUUGUCUGAAUGAGGGAUUUAUCUUUUUUUCCCGGGUUGUAUGUGCCCCCUAACAAAAAAGCCGGCCCCGACCUGGCCCCCCUAUUAAAACUGGUCCAGAACCGCC